CUAUAACUCAGAGGUAGAGUAUCUGACUUUUAAUCAGAGAGUCGAGAGUUCAAAUCUCUCUAGAUGC
RNAcentral lists this transfer RNA (67 nucleotides) under uncultured Anaeroplasma sp. It matches the Rfam family "tRNA", at positions 5 to 66 of the family's 71-position model. Rfam says of the family: Transfer RNA (tRNA) molecules are approximately 80 nucleotides in length. Their secondary structure includes four short double-helical elements and three loops (D, anti-codon, and T loops). Lineage: Bacteria; Bacillati; Mycoplasmatota; Mollicutes; Anaeroplasmatales; Anaeroplasmataceae. The record is from RNAcentral.